RNAcentral lists this ribosomal RNA (253 nucleotides) under uncultured bacterium. RNAcentral describes it as "partial 16S ribosomal RNA". It matches the Rfam family "Bacterial small subunit ribosomal RNA", at positions 524 to 776 of the family's 1533-position model. The record is from RNAcentral.
GACGUAGGGCGCGAGCGUUGUCCGGAUUUAUUGGGCGUAAAGAGCUCGUAGGCGGCUUGUUGCGUCGACCGUGAAAACCCGGGGCUCAACUUCGGGCUUGCGGUCGAUACGGGCGGGCUAGAGUUCGGUAGGGGAGACUGGAAUUCCUGGUGUAGCGGUGAAAUGCGCAGAUAUCAGGAGGAACAUCAGUGGCGAAGGCGGCUUCCUGGACCAAUACUGACGAUCAGGUGCGAAAGCGUGGGGAGCAAACAGG